AGCAGCCGCGGUAAUUCCAGCUCCAAUAGCGUAUAUUAAAGUUGUUGCAGUUAAAAAGCUCGUAGUUGAAUUUCGGGGUCAAUAAGUUGGUCAUGCCAAUGGUAUGCACUGGCUUUAUUGAUUCCUACCUCUUGACGAACUGUGAUGCCAUUAAUUUGGUGUUGCAGGGAAUCAGGACUGUUACCUUGAAAAAAUUAGAGUGUUUAAAGCAAGCUUACGCUUGAAUACAUUAGCAUGGAAUAAUGAAAUAGGACGUUUGAUCCUAUUUUGUUGGUUUCUAGGAUCGACGUAAUGAUUAAUAGGGAUAGUUGGGGGCAUUAGUAUUCAAUUGUCAGAGGUGAAAUUCUUGGAUUUAUUGAAGACUAACUACUGCGAAAGCAUUUGCCAAGGAUGUUUUCAUUAAUCAAGAACGAAAGUUAGGGGAUCGAAGACGAUCAGAUACCGUCGUAGUCUUAACCAUAAACUAUGCCGACUAGGGAUCGGAUGAUGUUAAUUUUUAAUGUACUCAUUC
This 511-nucleotide ribosomal RNA is filed under the name uncultured Glomus. RNAcentral describes it as "SSU rRNA". It matches the Rfam family "Eukaryotic small subunit ribosomal RNA", at positions 569 to 1081 of the family's 1831-position model. Lineage: Eukaryota; Fungi; Glomeromycota; Glomeromycetes; Glomerales; Glomeraceae. The record is from RNAcentral.